GUCGUUGUAGUAUAGUGGUAAGUAUUCCCGCCUGUCACGCGGGUGACCCGGGUUCGCCCCGGCAACGGCG
RNAcentral lists this transfer RNA (70 nucleotides) under Phaseolus vulgaris (common bean). It matches the Rfam family "tRNA". Rfam says of the family: Transfer RNA (tRNA) molecules are approximately 80 nucleotides in length. Their secondary structure includes four short double-helical elements and three loops (D, anti-codon, and T loops). Lineage: Eukaryota; Viridiplantae; Streptophyta; Magnoliopsida; Fabales; Fabaceae. The record is from Rfam by way of RNAcentral.